AACGAACGCUGGCGGCAUGCCUAACACAUGCAAGUCGAACGAUACCUUCGGGUCUAGUGGCGCACGGGUGCGUAACGCGUGGGAACCUGCCCUUAGGUUCGGAAUAACUCCCCGAAAGGGGUGCUAAUACCGGAUAAUGUCUUCGGACCAAAGAUUUAUCGCCUUUGGAUGGGCCCGCGUUGGAUUAGCUAGUUGGUAGGGUAAAAGCCUACCAAGGCGACGAUCCAUAGCUGGUCUGAGAGGAUGAUCAGCCACACUGGGACUGAGACACGGCCCAGACUCCUACGGGAAGCAGCAGUGGAGAAUAUUGGACAAUGGGCGAAAGCCUGAUCCAGCAAUGCCGCGUGAGUGAUGAAGGCCUUAGGGUUGUAAAGCUCUUUUACCCGGGAUGAUAAUGACAGUACCGGGAGAAUAAGCUCCGGCUAACUCCGUG
Molecule: ribosomal RNA, 433 nt
Filed under: uncultured bacterium
Lineage: Bacteria
Description: partial 16S ribosomal RNA
Rfam family: Bacterial small subunit ribosomal RNA
Source: RNAcentral